CCUGGGACAGUUGGUGGCACUCUGUGAGACUACUCUGAGACCAGUCCUUUCCAUCAUGGGCUCCUGUGGAAAAUGACCCCAGCUCAGCUCAGUAGUUGAUGGGACAUCUGAUUCAGGUUGGACCCAGCCCAGACAUCUGAUUCAAACAAUAUUCUUCUCCAGGAAUUUUGUAACCAGCACUGGUAAAGGGAGGGAAGUGCUCCCCAAAUGUGAGACUUGGAAACCAAAGGCCGCCAUGUUUUCUGUCUCAUGAUGGAAUCCAAUCUUCUUUGGCGGGGAAAAUAAAUGAAGCCAACACCAGUAGGUAUAA
This 310-nucleotide long non-coding RNA is filed under the name Homo sapiens (human). RNAcentral describes it as "long intergenic non-protein coding RNA 3133". Lineage: Eukaryota; Metazoa; Chordata; Mammalia; Primates; Hominidae. The record is from RNAcentral.